AGGGUUUGAUUCUGGCUCAGAACGUACGCUGGCGGCACGCCUAACACAUGCAAGUCGAACGAAGUAGCAAUACUUAGUGGCAGACGGGUGAGUAACAUGUAGGUAUCUGCCCUUUGGCCUGGAAUAACACGAGGAAACUUGUGCUAAUACCGGAUAAGUCUUUACGGAGAAAGCUUUAUGCACCAUUGGAUGAGCCUGCACUUGAUUAGUUUGUUGGUAGGGUAACGGCUCACCAAGACAUCGAUAGGUAGGGGCCCUGAGAGGGGGAUCCCCCACACUGGUACUGAGACACGGACCAGACUCCUACGGGAGGCAGCAGUGAGGAAUAUUGGACAAUGGGGGCAACCCUGAUCCAGCCAUGCCGCGUGCAGGAAGACUGCCCUAUGGGUUGUAAACUGCUUUUAUACAGGAAGAAACUGCGCUACGUGUAGCGUACUGACGGUACUGUAAGAAUAAGGAUCGGCUAACUCCGUGCCAGCCGCCGCGGUAAUUC
Molecule: ribosomal RNA, 493 nt
Filed under: uncultured bacterium
Lineage: Bacteria
Description: bacterial SSU rRNA
Rfam family: Bacterial small subunit ribosomal RNA
Source: RNAcentral